This is a long non-coding RNA of Acipenser ruthenus (sterlet), 442 nucleotides long. RefSeq lists it as uncharacterized. The transcript is spliced from 3 exons. The record is from RefSeq and is a predicted model, not a curated record. NCBI's taxonomy places the organism in Eukaryota, Metazoa, Chordata, Actinopteri, Acipenseriformes, Acipenseridae.
GAAGUAUGCGCGCAUUUCAGCUCACAAAAGGAUUGGAGUUUCUUGCUUCACCAGCAGUUGAGAAACAUCAAGCCUGAGCCAGCAGCUCCCAGCCUGAGGGGCCCAGACACACUCAGUCAAAGUUCAUCUGGGUGCUGCUGUGCAGGGUGAUGGAGAUGUCCUCAGGAUGAGCUGGAGACAGGAGACCUGAUGCUGGUUUCUAAGAUGGGAUUAUUAAUGGGGAUAAUAGGGAGAGCCUGACCAACAGAAACUAACAGACCUUCCUACCUAUGAGUGAAAAAAGACCAACAUGCCAACUCCAGCAAGACUGAGAGGGCAGGGUUUCAAAGGUCGUAGAUGAGAACUCCAGUGUUAAUCAGCAAAUCAUAUGUAGCAUUGAUCUUGGCAUUUUCAAGAGGUCGUUAUGCCUGUAUCGUUAUUGAAUAAUCAUGCUAAUUUGAGU